UAUACACUUUUGUGUAUGUAGAGUGAUGAAUAAAUAUCAAGAGAUGAUUAGUGUAGAUUUGGAGAUUUAAGAGAGACUAAGAGAAUAAAGAACAAGAGAGAAUACUCAAAACUCCAUUUGAUUGAUUAAUGAGAGAGUUUACAACAUAUAUAGAGUAGGGAUACAUAAAAACGUCCAGGUUCAGUCUAGCUAGGAUAACAAGCAUGUGUAGUCAAAGAUGCCUUAUUCAAACUAGCCAAUAAGGUUCCUCACAUGCUUGGGUAUCUUGCUUUAGCUUUCCAGCUGUGCCAGCCUGUCUAAAGCUUUCUUCCCUUGACCAGACCUUAUCCAAACUCCUCCUUGCUUAUCCAUACUCCCCCUGGCGUGUUUCACUCUCCAAAUAGCUGCAAGGUAACUUCCCAAGUCUUAUAACUCAGUUACCACAGUAACAAUAAAGUUACUGUGGUAAAUCACCAAAGUUACUGCCUGCUCCAAAUCCCUUCCUCUAUCCAUGUAUCAACUCUUCAUCUCCUCAUCUCAACACUCCCCCUCAAGCAUGACCAUGUG
Molecule: long non-coding RNA, 546 nt
Filed under: Brassica napus (rape)
Lineage: Eukaryota; Viridiplantae; Streptophyta; Magnoliopsida; Brassicales; Brassicaceae
Description: long non-coding RNA (BNAP_LNC015509)
Source: RNAcentral